UACAGAGGUCCCGAGCGUUGUUCGGAUUCACUGGGCGUAAAGGGUGCGUAGGUGGUGGAGUAAGUUUGAUGUGAAAUCUCCGGGCUCAACCCGGAGGAGUCGGCCGAAACUGGUUUUCUUGAGGGAGGCAGAGGAGUCUGGAAUUCCCGGUGUAGCGGUGAAAUGUGUAGAGAUCGGGAGGAACACCGGUGGCGAAGGCGGGACUCUGGGCCUACCCUGACGCUGAGGCGCGAAGGCGUGGGGAGCAAACGGG
RNAcentral lists this ribosomal RNA (253 nucleotides) under uncultured bacterium. RNAcentral describes it as "partial 16S ribosomal RNA". It matches the Rfam family "Bacterial small subunit ribosomal RNA", at positions 524 to 776 of the family's 1533-position model. The record is from RNAcentral.